Molecule: unclassified non-coding RNA, 631 nt
Filed under: Hevea brasiliensis (rubber tree)
Lineage: Eukaryota; Viridiplantae; Streptophyta; Magnoliopsida; Malpighiales; Euphorbiaceae
Source: RNAcentral
CCUUGCAUUUAUUCAAGAAAUUAACCUGAUCCAGAGCAAUGCAAAAGAUGGAUGGUAUAGAGAAAGUAGGAAGAGCUUCGAGUAGGCGAGCAAGCCACAACAUGAGCAGAAGCAUAAGCAGGAGCUUUAGCAGGAGCAUGGAAGAUGUAUUUUCAGGUGGCAGGUACUCUAGGAGAAGUAGCCGACAUGCUGAGGAAGAUGAAGAAGCUCUAAAAUGGGCUGCUAUAGAGAAGUUACCAACAUAUGAUAGGCUAAGAACAACUAUCAUGAAAUCUUUUGUGGAAAAUGAGCUCCAAGGAACCAAGAUGGUCCACAAAGAAGUUGAUGUCAGUAAGCUUGAUAUGAAUGAUAGGCAGAUGUUCAUCGAUAUGAUUUUUAAGGUUGCAGAGGAAGAUAAUGAGAAGUUCUUGAGAAAAUUUAGACAGAGAAUCGAUAAGGUUGGAAUUUCACUUCCAACUGUGGAAGUAAGGUUUGAGCAUUUAACUGUUGAAGCCGAUUGCCAAAUUGGAAGCAGAGCUCUUCCUACUCUUCCAAAUGUUGCCAGAAACCUUGCAGAAUCAGCCAUUGGCAUGCUUGGGAUUAAUAUGUCCAAGAGAACAAAGCUCACAAUUCUUAAAGAUGCCUCUGGGAG